AUAAAGGCCUCUCUAGAGGCCACAUUUUUAAGUAUCCAUGGUACAU
Molecule: non-coding RNA, 46 nt
Organism: Fukomys damarensis (Damara mole-rat)
Lineage: Eukaryota; Metazoa; Chordata; Mammalia; Rodentia; Bathyergidae
Source: Rfam